RNAcentral lists this ribosomal RNA (433 nucleotides) under Carrhotus sp. WM10. RNAcentral describes it as "partial 16S ribosomal RNA". Lineage: Eukaryota; Metazoa; Arthropoda; Arachnida; Araneae; Salticidae. The record is from RNAcentral.
UUCUAUUAGAAAUUAUUAAUAGUAAGGUCUGCUCAAUGAAAAUUAAAUAGCCGCAAUAUCGUGCUAAGGUAGCAUAAUCAUUUGUCUUUUAAAUGAAGACUAGAACAAAAGACUUUACAUUUUUGUAUAUAUCAUUAAUAAAAAAUCAAAUUUAUCCUAAAUAUUAAAAGAUUUUUAUUUAUUAGAAAGACGACAAGACCCUAUUGAACUUAACUUAAGUUAAACUGGGGCAGUUAAUUAAUUAUAAUUUUAAUUUAAAAUUUUUAGAAAAUAUUCUAAUAUCAUUAAUAUAAUUAAGUUACCAUAGGGAUAACAGCGUAAUUAAAUUUCAAAGAUCAUAUAAAAAAUUUAAAUUACGACCUCGAUGUUGAAUAAUAACCUAAAUAAGGCAAGACUUAUUACAGGAAGUCUGUUCGACUUUUAAACAAUUACA